AGCAGGAUUGGAACACAGGGCUGCCUCAUUCCCCUUACUUACUGGGGAGAGUGCUCUGGCCUCAGAAGCCCUGUCAGGAAUGGGAGCGGCUGGCUUUGGAGCCCUGGAACCCCAGUUAUCUGGAUGCCCAGGGAGUAGGCAUCUGGCUCUCCUCCCAGGGGCUGCUUCUUCCUCACACCCUGUGGGCCUGCAGGGACCCCACCUCUUGUGGACUGUAGAAAUAUUUUGCCUUUUUAAUGAUUUAUUUUAACUACUGUAAAGAGGAAAAACUCCCUAAGAGAGACAGCUGGAGGGUCUGCGCCCUGGACUCCGAAACCCAUCUAAGCACUCCAGUCCAAUGUCAUCCCUGCCCCCACGGCUCCCCUCUGAUGAAUGGGCUCCUGUCUUGGAAGGAUGAGUUAAUCUGCUGGGAGACUAUUCCGGGGAGAUGACAUCCUCCAUCACGCAGCCUGACAGGCUGUUCCGAGUGCCACUGACAGGCCAGAGACACCAAUAAGUCACCGGGCAGAGCACCUUGCAUCCAAGAAUCUCAACAGUGCCUUUGAAAACCGUGGUGAGUGUUAUCCCUAUUUUACAGACGGGGCAGCUGAGGUACGGAGAAAUUUCCCCUAAAUUCUCUCAGCCCAUCAGUGAGAAAACAGACCCCCAGAAGCCCUGACUCCCAGCCCCCCCCCCCCAGUUCUGCCCAGACUAUGAAGCUGCAGCCCUGUGAUACAGAACAAUGUCUCCUCAAUAAAUCACCGUGAAUCAUGACUCAGACGGCUGUGGAAAUUGGACUGGAGAAAAUGAGUUUUCAACCGUGGAACAAGUUUUCUCUGCGGGGGGGAAGGUCAGAUUUCAUGAGCGCCACAGAUAAAAGCGGCAGCCACACUCUGCAAUGGGCUUUGAAAUCUCCUUCCUUUCCUCUGGCUCAAGUUCCCACGGUACAAUGAGCAGGCCCGGCUCCCUGGUCACUGCUUUGUAUCACGAGCUGUCAUCCGAGGCUGGCGAUUGUGUGUUUCCCUGUGAUGAGAGUAUUGGCGAGGCGCGGCCGGAAUAUUCAUGGGAACUCCCCUGCUCAACGCCAGCCUGUAAAUCCUCUUCGACCAAUUUCAUGCAUGGAAA
Molecule: long non-coding RNA, 1104 nt
Organism: Mauremys reevesii (Reeves's turtle)
Lineage: Eukaryota; Metazoa; Chordata; Testudines; Geoemydidae
Exons: 3
Source: RefSeq, a predicted model, not a curated record